Molecule: long non-coding RNA, 380 nt
Filed under: Daucus carota (carrot)
Lineage: Eukaryota; Viridiplantae; Streptophyta; Magnoliopsida; Apiales; Apiaceae
Description: long non-coding RNA (DCAR_LNC002201)
Source: RNAcentral
GUCAUUUGUUAACCCCUUAACAGGAUAGAACUGAAUGGUUCAGUGGUUAAGCUUGUUUGUUUUAAUUUUGUAGAUGCUGGACCAAAAGAAAUACGAUGGACGAGAACGAUAAUUCUACUGGACGAGUGGGUUUGAAAAAUUGAGCAUGCCUCGUCCAGAACUGUCAACAAUAUAAGCUAUUGGCCAUUCUUUCUCAAAUUUAAACGCAAAAUAUAAAUAAAAUUAUAUUUAUAUAUGUUUAUUGAAGCUUGGGGCCAUAAAAUCAUAUUUAUUAUAUUCAAGAUUAGUAAAAUAAUAUUAAAAUAAUUUAUAUUUUGUAAUUGUGUAACUUUUAUAUUAAUCAAUUAUAAAUUUUAUUAUAUUUAUAAAUACAUUAUUUG